RNAcentral lists this transfer RNA (87 nucleotides) under Candidatus Shapirobacteria bacterium CG09_land_8_20_14_0_10_38_17. RNAcentral describes it as "tRNA-Leu". It matches the Rfam family "tRNA". Rfam says of the family: Transfer RNA (tRNA) molecules are approximately 80 nucleotides in length. Their secondary structure includes four short double-helical elements and three loops (D, anti-codon, and T loops). Further hydrogen bonds mediate the characteristic L-shaped molecular structure. tRNAs have two regions of fundamental functional importance: the anti-codon, which is responsible for specific mRNA codon recognition, and the 3' end, to which the tRNAs corresponding amino acid is attached (by aminoacyl-tRNA synthetases). tRNAs cope with the degeneracy of the genetic code in two manners: having more than one tRNA (with a specific anti-codon) for a particular amino acid; and 'wobble' base-pairing, i.e. permitting non-standard base-pairing at the 3rd anti-codon position. Lineage: Bacteria; Candidatus Shapironibacteriota. The record is from RNAcentral.
GCCCAGGUGUUGGAACUGGUAGACAAGCGACACUUAAAAUGUCGUCUCAUUCGUGGGGUGUGGGUUCGACUCCCACCCUGGGCACUA